This 445-nucleotide ribosomal RNA is filed under the name uncultured bacterium. RNAcentral's name for it is "partial 16S ribosomal RNA". It matches the Rfam family "Bacterial small subunit ribosomal RNA", at positions 354 to 796 of the family's 1533-position model. The record is from RNAcentral.
GUGAGGAAUAUUGCGCAAUGGAGGCAACUCUGACGCAGCCAUGCCGCGUGCAGGAAGAAGGCGCUACGCGUUGUAAACUGCUUUUAACCGGGAAGAAACCCCAGGACGUGUCCUGGGUUGACGGUACCGGAGGAAUAAGCACCGGCUAACUUCGUGCCAGCAGCCGCGGUAAUACGAAGGGUGCAAGCGUUAUCCGGAUUCAUUGGGUUUAAAGGGUGCGUAGGCGGAGCGUUAAGUCAGUGGUGCAAUCCUGCAGCUUAACUGUAGACUUGCCAUUGAUACUGGCGCUCUUGAGUGCGCUUGAAGUGGGCGGAAUGUGCCGUGUAGCGGUGAAAUGCUUAGAUAUGGCACAGAACACCAAUUGCGAAGGCAGCUCACUAAGGCGAUACUGACGCUGAGGCACGAAAGCGUGGGGAUCGAACAGGAUUAGAUACCCGUGGAGUCC